UUUAGUAUUGUGGAUUCAUUCUUGUGGUGACAAUCAUACUUCAAGAAAACUUGAAGGAAGGCUAAAGGAGUUCACAACAACUCAAGGACAAUCAUGAAAAGGAGGUUCAUCAAAUUCCACAUAUGGAUUCAGGUUAGCUUCCGCUCAUGUAGUUGUAAUUCCAAAUUAUUCAAUAUGAAGAUUAUUGUCUUUAGUAGGAAUCAUAAUCCUAACAUAAGAUUCUGGUAACUACGCAGAAUGAGGCAGUAGCUUCAAUAAUGGGGACGGU
This 268-nucleotide long non-coding RNA is filed under the name Nicotiana benthamiana. RNAcentral describes it as "long non-coding RNA (NBEN_LNC029655)". Lineage: Eukaryota; Viridiplantae; Streptophyta; Magnoliopsida; Solanales; Solanaceae. The record is from RNAcentral.